This 486-nucleotide ribosomal RNA is filed under the name uncultured bacterium. Its description in RNAcentral is "partial 16S ribosomal RNA". It matches the Rfam family "Bacterial small subunit ribosomal RNA", at positions 30 to 507 of the family's 1533-position model. The record is from RNAcentral.
AUUGAACGCUGGCGGCAUGCCUUACACAUGCAAGUCGAACGGCAGCACGGGUGCUUGCACCUGGUGGCGAGUGGCGAACGGGUGAGUAAUACAUCGGAACAUGUCCUGUAGUGGGGGAUAGCCCGGCGAAAGCCGGAUUAAUACCGCAUACGAUCCACGGAUGAAAGCGGGGGACCUUCGGGCCUCGCGCUAUAGGGUUGGCCGAUGGCUGAUUAGCUAGUUGGUGGAGUAAAGGCCUACCAAGGCGACGAUCAGUAGCUGGUCUGAGAGGACGACCAGCCACACUGGGACUGAGACACGGCCCAGACUCCUACGGGAGGCAGCAGUGGGGAAUUUUGGACAAUGGGCGAAAGCCUGAUCCAGCAAUGCCGCGUGUGUGAAGAAGGCCUUCGGGUUGUAAAGCACUUUUGUCCGGAAAGAAAUCCUUGGCUCUAAUACAGUCGGGGGAUGACGGUACCGGAAGAAUAAGCACCGGCUAACUACGUG